CUCCUUCUUCAAUCUUCCCGGCGACUCCUCCUUCCCCACGAGUCCACGACCAGCGUCCAGCGGCGCUGCGGCGGUUUCCUUCAAGCCCGGUCGGCGUGAGAAUGAUGAUGAAGAUGGAAGCUCAGAGCUCACUCGUUACUUCGCAGAGAGGCAAUACAAGGCCAAUGAAGAUGAUGAUUUUGACAUUCUUAUGUGGUGGAAGACAUACGGUAUUUCCUAUCCUAUUCUAUCAGAGAUGGCUAAAGAUAUCCUUGCUAUUCCUAUAUCAAGCGUUGCUUCUGAGUCGGCAUUCAGCAUGGGGGGCGUGUGCUGUCGAUAUUUAGAAACUCUUUGGCACCGGAAAUGGUAGAAGCUUUGAUAUGCUCCGAGGAUUGGUUGAGGUCUAGUUCUAGUUCUGCCGAUUUCAUGGAAGAAGAAGGAGAACCAAUACCAUUUUUGAAAAACAAUACUAUGAAACGGUGGGGGCACUCCAUAAGGAUGGCAAAGUGAUGUGGCCAUUGGACGAUGCAGAAUCGGGAGAAUUGGAAAGAACUUAUUCAAGUGGUCAUGAUGAAAGUUAAAUUUAUCGUGCAUUUGUUUUGGAAUUUGAAAAUAUUGAACUUGGACUUUUUUUUUUGAAUAUUUGAACUUUGAUUGGUUGUUGAAUUGAGUAGGUUGUAUACUUUGAUUGAUUGACCUUGUUGUUUCGGAAGCUUUGAGAUUGGAGUUGUUUACUUUUAUAAAUAUUUCAAAUUUUGGAUUCAGCAGUUUGUAAACUUUUUUGUUUUGUUAAA
This is a long non-coding RNA of Salvia splendens (bonfire salvia), 773 nucleotides long. RefSeq lists it as uncharacterized. NCBI's taxonomy places the organism in Eukaryota, Viridiplantae, Streptophyta, Magnoliopsida, Lamiales, Lamiaceae. The record is from RefSeq and is a predicted model, not a curated record. The transcript has 3 exons.